This is a long non-coding RNA of Agrilus planipennis (emerald ash borer), 505 nucleotides long. RefSeq lists it as uncharacterized. The transcript is spliced from 3 exons. Lineage: Eukaryota; Metazoa; Arthropoda; Insecta; Coleoptera; Buprestidae. The record is from RefSeq and is a predicted model, not a curated record.
GGAAACUGAAACAUUUCCUGUAAAAGAAAAACACUCCGAUCCAACACGAACAAUAGAAAAUAAUAUUACAAUUUACUGUUAUUAUUAAUUCGGCGCCAUGUUAAUGGGUAGUAUCGAGUGCUAUUAAUUAAUUGAAUUAUCGCGUUAGUUUUCGUAGAUUAGUAAAGAAAACAUAUCCGAUAUCGUGUUGUGUAAUCAUCAAUGUGAAUUUGAACAAUGAUUGGGGCUAAAGUUGCACUUAGGAUUAGGAUUACGAAAAGUGUUACGUUUAGACUCCAUUUCCUGUGAUAUGAAGAUGGUUCGUUAGGAUGCCCGUGUUGAAAGAGAAACGUCAGAAAGAUCAAGAUCGUAUGGGAGGGAGAUGGUAGUCACAUUUUUCAGUUUUUCUUGGCUUUCCACACUUAUGAAGGGUGCUGUUGGGGAGUUUCGGUUCCACACUCAUGGAAGGAGAUCAUUCGAGAUGUUCCUGCUAGGAGAGGAAAGGUGGACAGGUGUGGUCACAACG